CGGUAUAUUAUUCCGCUGUAAUUUACACAUUGACCGGUACUCGUUAUGGGAUACCGAACGGUAAAAUAUUGUAUCGGAAAGUUUUUCGAUAUAACAGGCACACACUUCUGCGAUAUUAUACAAUUAUACUACUAUGCUAUUAAAAACUAUUAAGUUAUUAUGAAAAAAAAAAAAAAAUGUUUUUCCAAUCGUAUAUAUAGUAUGCACUGCGUUUACCUGUCAACAUCAUAAAUAUUGUAACUUAAGGCUCGAGUUCUUUGUUUUAAACUCAAUAUGCUA
This is a non-coding RNA of Cinara cedri, 279 nucleotides long. The record is from the annotation of a GenBank genome assembly. NCBI's taxonomy places the organism in Eukaryota, Metazoa, Arthropoda, Insecta, Hemiptera, Aphididae.